CUAUAACACGAAAAAAAAAAAAAAAACAAUAACGAAAUGUCAACAUAUUCCAACUACAGUCGAAAUAAUAGUAUGUAGGUACACGUUUUACUUGUAAAUAUCGAACGGGUAUAACGUUAACACGUGUAAACAGAUAUUAUAUGCAGAAAAUCUAUAAGUUUUGAAUAUUUCAACAUCUCGUGCACGGUACAUAAUGUAUUCGUGCACGGUGUUUUACAAACCAGCAUAUUAUGCGUACCGGCUGCACCCGAAGGGCGUUGCCGCGUGAAUUCGAACACAUUUCGCGUAAUUAAAUGUAAUUAACUAUUUUUCGGGGUUAAAAAAAAAAAAUUAAAAAAAAACUCGGAAUUCAAUUUUAACGAAUCAAUAUAGGUAAUUUGCAUUUUGACGUUUAUAAAUAAUGUUUGAACAUAAGUUUUCAACACUUUAUAACAAUAGGUUGU
Molecule: non-coding RNA, 443 nt
Organism: Cinara cedri
Lineage: Eukaryota; Metazoa; Arthropoda; Insecta; Hemiptera; Aphididae
Source: the annotation of a GenBank genome assembly